Molecule: ribosomal RNA, 500 nt
Filed under: uncultured bacterium
Lineage: Bacteria
Description: partial 16S ribosomal RNA
Rfam family: Bacterial small subunit ribosomal RNA
Source: RNAcentral
GACGAACGCUGGCGGCGUGCUUAACACAUGCAAGUCGAACGGGUCUGCCCUGUUUUUUGCGGGGUGGGUCAGUGGCGAACGGGUGAGUAACACGUGAGUAACCUGCCCCUCACUUCUGGAUAACCGCUUGAAAGGGUGGCUAAUACGGGGUGUUCUGGCUGUGCCGCAUGGUGUGGCUGGGAAAGAUUCACUUUUGUGGUGUUUUGGUGGGGGAUGGGCUCGCGGCCUAUCAGCUUGUUGGUGGGGUGAUGGCCUGCCAAGGCUUUGACGGGUAGCCGGCCUGAGAGGGUGGGCGGUCACACUGGGACUGAGAUACGGCCCAGACUCCGGCGGGAGGCAGCAGUGGGGGGUAGUGCACAAUGGGCGGAAGCCUGAUGCAGCGACGUCGCGUGAGGGAUGGAGGCCUUCGGGUUGUGAACCUCUUUCGCCGGUGAAGAAGGUCCUGCUCUUUGUGGGGGGGUUGACGGUAGCCGGGUUAUGAAGCGCCGGCUAACUACGUG